UAUCUCUGGUUUCUGGUCAAUGGAAAAAAUCUUUCGCCUUUUACUAAAGAUUUCCGUGGCCGGGAGCACUCAAUGAGUCUGUAGACCAAUUUUUGCAAGUCUCGUCUUUGGACGGGACA
Molecule: non-coding RNA, 119 nt
Organism: Strigamia maritima
Lineage: Eukaryota; Metazoa; Arthropoda; Chilopoda; Geophilomorpha; Linotaeniidae
Source: Rfam